UUGCCAACCUAGCCCAGACCUAGUCCCGAAAUAAGAAGCGAAACAAAAACUUAUUUUAUUAAAGAGAAGGGCCUUGUCUCCAUUUCUUUUAGAAAUUGAAAUGUAGUAAGAGAUAUUGUUGCCAAAUUGGCUUGCUUAUCUUCCUUUGGUGCAUUUCUUCUCUAAUUGGAAGAUUCAUUCUCAUGGUACAUGAGUGCUGUUUGUCCUUCAUUUCUCGGAUGACUGUCUCUUUCACUGGCAUUAGAAACUAAUAUUAAUUCCUCCACUAUUUUCUUGGCCAGGAGAAGAAGUUGGAGUGAGGAGAAGGCUUAGCUCAGAAGCGGGAAGCUGAAGCAAGGGAGCUUGAGUUAGAAUCGGAAAAAGACAAACCAUUUGUGCAGACGAGGUUGUCCUACUAGCUAGAUGCUUUUAGUCGUGGUCCAUGCAAUGCAGGACCAUAUUAGGUGGAUGGUCCCAAUCCAGGGUCUCCCUUCUACAUUUACAGAGGUGCAAUCAACUGCCAUUCGUAGGCAAUUUUAUAGAGGUACACUUGUCUCUACCAGCUCAUCUAACAAGUAGUAGACAUCCACUAGUACUUUCAAUAUUCUGAACCAGGUGGUUAUUUUCGAGGUUGAGCACCCUGUAAUUGAGAUAAUUGUUGGCCAACACCUUUUAGAGUGGCAGUUCCGUGUAGCAAAUGGAGAACCUCUUCCCUUGAUUCAGUUACAAGGGCCUUUAUAAGGUAAUUGUUAUCAAAGAAGCAGUACUUGACAUCAGACAUGAGCUAGAAAAGUAUGUUGCAUGAUAUGUUAAUUUGAAUCAAUUAACCAUUCCUCACUAGAAUUGUUCGGAAUUCCACAUCAACUUUUAUUUCACUUUUCUCAGAUAUGACUUGGCUUCUAGCAUUGUCAAUCCUAAUUUUACUUACUUUUACCUUUUUUGGUGCCUACUUUUCUUGCACAUGGUUGCAAGUUUCAUCAUUCUUGAAUAUGAAGCAAUUACAAGUAAACAAGAUAUCAGAAUCAUCAAAGAAUGCAUGAAAUGAUCCCAAUUUUCAGAAAUUUACUAAAAACCAAUCUUGUUUCAUUUUUAGCAUUAACUCCAUUCGGAAUUAUCGCAACACAACAGGUUGGGCCUUUGUCAGUGUCAUUUUAUACAAGUGUUGAGAGUUCCAACUCCAUAGAAGCAGAAACUUGUACUUGAGACACCUACCCAUUUCAUGAAAAUGUGUUUUUUUUUUUUUUUUUUUUUUUCUUUCAGCUCACAUCAUCCAGAUAAUUAUUCUACUUGACUGUUGUGGGCAUAACAUCAUUGAGGUGUAUUCAAUUCAGCAAUCAACAAAGCAGUUGCCUGGUGUUGUUGGGUUCAAGUUGUCUGGAAAAUUGAACACAAUGGUGUUACGCUACCGACUUAGUUUUAAAUGUGACGCAAAUGUUGAGGAAGCAUGGGGUUGUUGGCAAGUUUGUUGAGUUUUAUUUGGGGGCAUGGGUGAAUUAUCAUUGGUUGAUAGGGCUACUAUUGCUAAUAUGUCUCCUGAAUAUGGAGCAACCAUGGGUUUCUUU
Magnolia sinica is the source of this 1541-nucleotide long non-coding RNA. RefSeq lists it as uncharacterized. NCBI's taxonomy places the organism in Eukaryota, Viridiplantae, Streptophyta, Magnoliopsida, Magnoliales, Magnoliaceae. The transcript is spliced from 3 exons. The record is from RefSeq and is a predicted model, not a curated record.